UACGUAGGGGGCAAGCGUUGUCCGGAAUCAUUGGGCGUAAAGAGCGUGUAGGCGGCCAGAUAAGUCCGCUGUGAAAUCUCGAGGCUCAACUUCGAGCUGUCGGUGGAAACUGUCUGGCUAGAGUCCGGAAGAGGAGAAUGGAAUUCCUGGUGUAGCGGUGAAAUGCGCAGAUAUCAGGAAGAACACCCGUGGCGAAGGCGGUUCUCUGGGACGGUACUGACGCUGAGGCACGAAAGCGUGGGGAGCAAACAGG
RNAcentral lists this ribosomal RNA (253 nucleotides) under uncultured bacterium. RNAcentral describes it as "partial 16S ribosomal RNA". It matches the Rfam family "Bacterial small subunit ribosomal RNA", at positions 524 to 776 of the family's 1533-position model. The record is from RNAcentral.